Molecule: ribosomal RNA, 492 nt
Filed under: uncultured bacterium
Lineage: Bacteria
Description: partial 16S ribosomal RNA
Rfam family: Bacterial small subunit ribosomal RNA
Source: RNAcentral
AGUGAACGCUGGCGGUAGGCCUAACACAUGCAAGUCGAGCGGCAGCACAGUAAGAGCUUGCUCUUACGGGUGGCGAGUGACGGACGGGUGAGGAAUACAUCGGAAUCUACUUUUUCGUGGGGGAUAACGGAGGGAAACUUACGCUAAUACCGCAUACGACCUACGGGUGAAAGCAGGGGAUAUUCGGACCUUGCGCGAUUGAAUGAGACGAUGUCGGAUUAGCUAGUUGGCGGGGUAAAGGCCCACCAAGGCGACGAUACGUAGCUGGUCUGAGAGGAUGAUCAGCCACACUGGAACUGAGACACGGUCCAGACUCCUACGGGAGGCAGCAGUAGGGAAUAUUGGACAAUGGGCGCAAGCCUGAUCCAGCCAUACCGCGUGGGUGAAGAAGGCCUUCGGGUUGUAAAGCCCUUUUGUUGGGAAAGAAAAGCAGCAGGUGAAUACCCCGCUGUUCUGACGGUACCUAAAGAAUAAGCACCGGCUAACUUCGUG